UGUAUGUGACAGCUGGUCAUGUUAUUAGCUAGUUUAUUAGCUACCUUUGUUAGUUAGCUUUAACAAAAGAUAAUGGAUUACAACUCAAGAUGUUCUACUCAGAAAGAUGUUUCUGAGAAAGAGCGAUUAAGAGGCUGUGGCAGCAGAAGAGAGAGUUGAAGGGGUUAAAUGAUGAGCAACAGCACCUGAUCGACUUAAAGGGCAAGCUAGAAGAGCUCACACGGACAUGUUCCCUACCAGGUAUCUGUGUCCAGUGUGACGAGUUACCAGGGCGUCACAGAUUUCCCUG
This is a long non-coding RNA of Coregonus clupeaformis (lake whitefish), 289 nucleotides long. RefSeq lists it as uncharacterized. The record is from RefSeq and is a predicted model, not a curated record. NCBI's taxonomy places the organism in Eukaryota, Metazoa, Chordata, Actinopteri, Salmoniformes, Salmonidae. The transcript is spliced from 3 exons.